AUGAGUCCUCGGCCUCACGCCUUCGCCCUCCUCCUCCUCCUCCUGGCCGCCGUCCCAGGGCUGCGGGCGGCCGAGACGUUGGACGAGUCCGGAGGGGGCCUCGUGAAGCCCGGGGGGUCCCUGACCCUGGUCUGCAAGGCCUCCGGCUUCACCUUCAGCAGCUACAACAUGGCAUGGGUGCGACAGGCACCUGGGAAGGGGCUCGAGGAGGUCGUGCAUAUUAGCAGCAGUGGUAGUACCACAGUCUACGCGCCGGCAGUGAAGGGGCGCUUCACCAUCUCCAGGAACAACGGGCAGAGCACGGCCACCCUGCAGAUGAACAGCCUCAAGGCCGAAGACACCGCCACCUACUACUGCGCGAAAGCUUAUGCUGGUAGUGCUUGGAGUGGUUGUAGUGCUGGUGGUGUUGAUGGCUGA
Molecule: non-coding RNA, 417 nt
Organism: Cygnus atratus (black swan)
Lineage: Eukaryota; Metazoa; Chordata; Aves; Anseriformes; Anatidae
Source: the annotation of a RefSeq genome assembly